GAUGAACGCUGACAGAAUGCUUAACACAUGCAAGUCUACUUGAUCCUUCGGGUGAUGGUGGCGGACGGGUGAGUAACGCGUAAAGAACUUGCCCUGCAGUCUGGGACAACAUUUGGAAACGAAUGCUAAUACCGUAUAUUAUGUGAGUUUCGCGUGAAAUUCAUAUGAAAGCUAUAUGCGCUGCAGGAGAGCUUUGCGUCCUAUUAGCUAGUUGGUGAGGUAACGGCUCACCAAGGCGAUGAUAGGUAGCCGGCCUGAGAGGGUGAACGGCCACAAGGGGACUGAGACACGGCCCUUACUCCUACGGGAGGCAGCAGUGGGGAAUAUUGGACAAUGGACCAAAAGUCUGAUCCAGCAAUUCUGUGUGCACGAUGAAGUUUUUCGGAAUGUAAAGUGCUUUCAGUUGGGACGAAGUAAGUGACGGUACCAACAGAAGAAGCGACGGCUAAAUACGUGCCAGCAGCCGCGGUAA
This 472-nucleotide ribosomal RNA is filed under the name uncultured bacterium. RNAcentral's name for it is "partial 16S ribosomal RNA". It matches the Rfam family "Bacterial small subunit ribosomal RNA", at positions 28 to 523 of the family's 1533-position model. The record is from RNAcentral.